UGGGGAAUAUUGCACAAUGGGCGAAAGCCUGAUGCAGCAAUGCCGCGUGUGUGAAGAAGGCCUGCGGGUUGUAAAGCACUUUCGGUAGGGAAGAUAAUGACGGUACCUACAGAAGAAGCACCGGCUAACUCCGUGCCAGCAGCCGCGGUAAUACGUAGGGUGCGAGCGUUAAUCGGAAUUACUGGGCGUAAAGGGUGCGCAGGCGGCCCCGCAUGUCAGGCGUGAAAUCCCCGGGCUUAACCUGGGAAUGGCGCUUGAAACUACGGGGCUGGAGUAUGGCAGAGGGAGGUGGAAUUCCACGUGUAGCGGUGAAAUGCGUAGAGAUGUGGAGGAACACCGAUGGCGAAGGCAGCCUCCUGGGCCAAUACUGACGCUGAGGCGCGAAAGCGUGGGGAGCAGACAGGAUUAGAUACCCCAGUAGUCCCUGAGCGGGCUGGCAAGGCGCAU
RNAcentral lists this ribosomal RNA (447 nucleotides) under uncultured bacterium. RNAcentral describes it as "bacterial SSU rRNA". It matches the Rfam family "Bacterial small subunit ribosomal RNA", at positions 355 to 825 of the family's 1533-position model. The record is from RNAcentral.